Molecule: long non-coding RNA, 642 nt
Filed under: Equus caballus (horse)
Lineage: Eukaryota; Metazoa; Chordata; Mammalia; Perissodactyla; Equidae
Description: lncRNA (ENSECAG00000057004.1)
Source: RNAcentral
UUUGAUCUUCUCUCUUGCAUCAGAUGUUUGCUAUCAUUUGUCCUUGCUACCCCUAAUUGCCUCUUUUUACUUGCUAGUCCUGACUUGCAGUAGGUUUGUAAGCCAGAUGCUUAGCUUAAUAAAAUUGUGGGCACAUAAAAGCAUUCCUAGGCGAUGAGUAAGGACCAAGGGGAUCUCCUACGUGUAGUGCAUGCAUUUCGUGGCAUCUGUUUCACAAUGAGUUUUCUUCUUGGCUAAGUCCUACACAGGUAAAGAUGUCAGGUGUCUGGAUUUUGGAGGGGUGAGGUGGAAUGAUAACAUUUUGUAUGGCUUCGAAUGGAUGGAGGGCUUAAAUAUAUUCUCAUUGAGGAGCAUGGUUGCUUCAUAACAGCCGGGACUCUGCUUUGUGUGAUCUGACAUCCUUCACAACACCAGGGUCUUUCAAAGUGGAAACCAAAGACUCCAGAUGAGACAUUGAAAAUUAAUACCACAAACUUUGCUCUCCUGUAGCCCCAGAGUGAGUGGGCGAAGAUAAGGCCCUGUGUGAUGCCAUGUGGAGAGAAGGCCAGUGGAGCAGAAUGGACAGCCUUGUAAAAUUACCAAGUUCAAGAAGAUGUUGCACACAGCAAGAAAAUAAAAUGAAAAAAUGCUUCAAUACCAUGG